CAAUAAAGAGGCCGGCGGAAGAUGGGGAGCUGCGUCUGCAGGAGGAGGAUUGUCCAUAGACCGGCAAAGCCGGUUUUAGCGGAAGCGGGGCAUUUAGGUUCUGCUCUUAGUUGUUCCUUGAGUUGAGUGGGUUUGGGUUGCUGUGUUUUGUAUCAAAACAUUAAAAGUUUGGGGUGUAGUUUCAAUAGUACUGGGAGUUAGCUGUCCAUUUUUUUGUGGUUUUAACGCGCGUGUAAGGCAUCUGCCAUUAUUCUAGGCAGUUUUGGGGGGGGGUGAUACAAGGCAAUAACGUCCCAUGAGAAGCUUCUCAACAUUUGCCAUCUUGGGUUUAAAUAGAGCCGUAGGAGGGAGUACUUUUGGUAUUUUGCUGUCACAUGUGAAGGAUUCCACUUGCGUUCAGCAGCUGCUGCAGUUUUACUGCCUCUUGUUGGAGGUCACCAAACCCACGGCGGAACUGGCAUCUCCCCAUCUGUUUCAUGGCAAAAUUGCACUCACUGUGCUUCAACUUGAGGCAAGGAUGUAACGAUUAGGACAAGUCUUGCUGUCUACUCCUCCCACACCUCCAUACUGCCAGAUUUGGAUAACCUUUAUGAGAGAAAAAAACCUUCACAGCAGGAGGUGGUGUAUGUCCUGACCGGUGCUUUGGAUUAAAAAUCCUUAAGAUUAAGUGCAAACAGGGAGCCAGCAGAUAUUCGCAAGAGGACCAUCCGCUGAGGACAAGGAGAGAGGGCAGCCCUUCCAAAAAAUGAGGUCGCUGGAAACAUGCCUACGUUCGUGCAAGGUCUGUUGCUGAGCCUGAAGUUGUUCCAGUCUGGCACUCUGCCCCAAAACACUGCCUCCUCUUUUGAAAAGCAGGACUAUAAAUCACAGGUGGGCUUGAACCAGAAGCUGGUUGAAGCUCAAAAAUUGCAUAUGUUUCUGGAAACAUCUGAUUCAUGUCCAAAAUAUGCUGCUGGUCUCUACUUCACUACAUCUCCGGACUGAACGUGUGAGGGUGGGCUCAGCUUCCCCUGGAGUUCAAGCUGUGUGGAUCUGGAGACCUCUCUUGUUUCACCCGUACAACUACUACUUUAGCCUGAAUCUGACCCACAUUUAUUUGACAAGCUGAAUUCAAGCUGCUGGUUACAAGCCUACAUCCCGAGAGGUCCUUUCUCCUGGAAGCUGGAGAAUCCUCCCUGCCGACCGGGGCAGCUCGUCCGUCCGAAACAACAUGUGGUGUAAAGUCAUGUUUAGGGUAUGUGACUUAAAAGGGAGUUUAAGCAGGUUGUCUCUCCCAGCUUUUUGUCCUGUGAUGUCUUGUACCAUGUAGGUGACCACAGCAAUCCAGAACGGCUUAUUUUAUGUGAAAAAGCUCCUUCCUUGAGCUGUCCUUCAGGCUCCACUUCUUAGACAGCUAACUGCCAUCCCUGUUCCGUGAGCAAUGAAUCGAUGGCACACAAAUCUCAGAUCACAGCCUUCACCGCUUCUCUGGCUUCCUCCCUGCUCCUUCACACCCUUCAGUGGUUUUAAAAAGAAGGUAGCAGCAGAACUGGGAAGGUUGUCCAGAACUGCUCAUCUCCUUUUGCUGACCCCCAAAUGGUCGUACCCUGCGACACUCACGGAGCAAGGGAGGAUGCUGCUGCACCUUUAAACUCACUUUAUUUUCCUGGCAGCGCUGCCCCUCUGCCCAGGGGGGCCGAGGUCUCUUGGGGUCCUGCCAUCCCCUUUCUUGUGGCCACAGAGUGGGAGGUGCUCUUCUUUCCAUGUCAAAAUGUGCAAAAUGAUGGCACUUGAGGACAGCCUCACCUCUAAACCAUGUGUUUCCCUGGAGGGUUGCCCAAGACCGCUCCCAGUUGGAUGGGGAUAACUGAAUCAAGAAGCCUCAGCCUGCUCCCACCAGCCCAGUGGUUCACCCCACAGGCAUGGUCCCCAGGCAUGGCCCCCAGGCAUGUCCCCUCCCUCCGCAGACUGCCAGUGGCACAUGGGGUGGCGGUGCCCGAGAGCGGGACCUGGGCUGGGUGCAGGUGGAGGAGUGGUGGCAGGCGAGGGGGGCGCAGCGGCAGGGUCCCCUGCGCCACGCUGCCAGGGGCAAGAGGGGACGAGGCACGCGGGAGCAAAGGCAGCCUCUCCCCUGGGUGCCAUGCGGCGGGGGCAUCACCUUCAUGCCCAUAAUUCCACUACCAGCUUGUGGCCAGUGACUAAAAUAACCUCAAGUCAAUUUUUAACUUUCCCAGCACCUGAGCUCCUUUUUCAGCAAGAUGACGUGGCCCCCUGGGAGGCUCAGGCACUGACGAAGCCACGGUCUGGCUGGAUUUCCCCUUCUGCCGCUGACGAAAACCACCGCUUCCUUCCCCAGCAGUGGGUGGGUGCCUCGGGCCCCCUCCCUGCCCCAUUCUGCGGGGCCGCCAGGUGCCUGCCGUCCUCCCCAGUGCCCCCUGGUAGAAACACCAGGUCCCCAUACCAUUUUUGUGCUCCCAUAGCAUUUUUGUGCUCCCGAUCCCUUGCACCCCCAGGGGAAGGCUGAUGGAAAAAGCUGUCCCAGAUGGCACACGCUAAAUGCACCAAGAGGCUUUGGUGCGGCCGGAGGUCGGGGAAGAGGGUUUCAAGGCUCUUGGCAGCACAUGGCCGUCACACCUGAGUGGCACUUGGGCACGCUCACUGUUGGUCCCGCUCCGGGCAGAGGUGUCGGAGUAAUUUAUAGGCACGUGGCCAACCCCCAUCUCACUUAAAUGAUGAUUUCUUGUUAUGCUGGGGAGCGUGCCCAGCUGCUUUCGAAAGGAUGCUAACAGCUUUCUGAAAGCAAAUACAUUACAUGUGCUCCGUCGAGACAGAACGGUGCUGCCUCUCUUCUUCUGAGAAGGGUGGGGGUGAGCCCCGAUCAAUCAAUUAGCACUGAUUAACCAGGAGGAAGAGGAAAGCUGGCUCAGGUAACGUGUCCCUGCUCCCCAAGUACUGGAGCAGAGCACUUCAGGUCACGGCGCUCCUCAAUCACAGCCUUUGAUGCAUGGGGUAAAGCUCUUCCUGGCUGCUUUUAAGUAAGGAAUAAGUGAGCAUUGGGGCUGGGCAGGGGGUGCCCUGGGGAGGAGGGGAUGGGGAGCUGGGGUGGGGGGCCAGGGCUGGGCAGUGGGGCAGGGUAGGUGAGGCACCGUCACCCCGCAGGGAGCUGGCUCACAGGGCUGCCUUGGGAACAUACCCUAUCUGGGUGCUCCCCGCGUCGCAGACAUUUGUGCUUUAUCACUUUAAUUCCUCGUUUCCUGGUUUUCACUUUCGACCCACACGGUGGCAAAGGCAGCGCUGCAGCAGCCCCAGGCUUGCUUGGGUGUUUUCAACGCAGCAUGGCAUUGCAAACAGACGUCGGAGGUGCCUGGCUGCCGUGCAAAACCAUGGGAGCUCUGACCACAGGAGCUCAGCCCAGCUCCCUGAAAUCAGAGUUGCCUCUGCAGUCCAGCCCCGGCUGUUGAGAGGCAUCGAAUCAGCUCUGUGAUAGACUGAGGGCCGGGGAUGGGGUUUUAGGCAGCAGGGAGCUCUGCUGUGUUUUGUCCAGUUGAAAUCAGUGGCGUUUCUGGUGGGAAUCGCCGGCUGCAUGGGUGAAUGGGACCCGUGCACACUCCUGAAGAGAGUCCCGAAGGAAUGUGGGCAAAUCCACUGCCUGCCCAAACCGAGAGGCCUCCAAGAGCCCAAUUUUCACCCUUAUUUCAGUUCCAGGGAUGGAGUUUUUAAUACAAUAUUUUGUCAGCAGACGAACACCCAUUGAGAACUACAAGGGCAUUGCCAGGGUGUGCAGGGAUGCAGUUAGAAAAGCAAAAGCUCAGCUUGAAUUGAAAUUGGCCGGAGAUGUCAAAAGCUACAAGAAAGGGUUCUUCAGGUCUGUAAACAACAAGCAGAAACAGAAGGCAAACAUUGGCCUGCUGUUAAACAGGAGAGGUGAAUUAGUCACCCACAAUGCCCAAAAGGCAGAGGUUCUCAACACUUUCUUCACCUCUGCCUUUACCAGCACUGUUGGGACCCGGGCCUUGGGAACAAAAAUCCAGGUUGGUGCAAACACAGACCCACCACCAGUGAAGGAAGAGUUGGUCUGUGAACUAUUACAUGAGCUUGACCCCUACAAAUCGAUGGGCCCUGACGUUAUCCAGCUGAAGGUGUCAAGAGAGCCACCCUGCAGGAAGAUCUGGACAGGCUGGAAGG
Long non-coding RNA from Egretta garzetta (little egret), 4164 nucleotides. RefSeq lists it as uncharacterized. Lineage: Eukaryota; Metazoa; Chordata; Aves; Pelecaniformes; Ardeidae. The record is from RefSeq and is a predicted model, not a curated record. The transcript is spliced from 4 exons.